AGCUAUUUGUCUGAUUGAUUACAAGUUAGUAUCUUGAAAAUAUUAUAAAAAGGUUGAAUUCCUUUAAUAGCUU
Molecule: transfer RNA, 73 nt
Filed under: Gomphiocephalus hodgsoni
Lineage: Eukaryota; Metazoa; Arthropoda; Collembola; Poduromorpha; Hypogastruridae
Description: tRNA-Ser
Source: RNAcentral